CGGGGUGUGGCGCAGUCCGGUUAGCGUACACGUCUGGGGGGCGUGAGGUCGCAGGUUCAAAUCCUGUCACCCCGACAA
Molecule: transfer RNA, 78 nt
Filed under: Algoriphagus hitonicola
Lineage: Bacteria; Pseudomonadati; Bacteroidota; Cytophagia; Cytophagales; Cyclobacteriaceae
Description: tRNA_Pro_GGG
Rfam family: tRNA
About the family: Transfer RNA (tRNA) molecules are approximately 80 nucleotides in length. Their secondary structure includes four short double-helical elements and three loops (D, anti-codon, and T loops).
Source: RNAcentral